This 446-nucleotide ribosomal RNA is filed under the name uncultured bacterium. Its description in RNAcentral is "partial 16S ribosomal RNA". It matches the Rfam family "Bacterial small subunit ribosomal RNA", at positions 330 to 792 of the family's 1533-position model. The record is from RNAcentral.
GCCAGACUCCUACGGGAGGCAGCAGUGGGGGAUAUUGCACAAUGGGGGGAACCCUGAUGCAGCGACGCCGCGUGGGUGAAGGAGCGUUUCGGCGCGUAAAGCCCUAUCGGCAGGGAAGAAGGAGGACGGUACCUGACUAAGAAGCCCCGGCUAACUACGUGCCAGCAGCCGCGGUAAUACGUAGGGGGCAAGCGUUAUCCGGAUUUACUGGGUGUAAAGGGGGCGCAGACGGCAGCGCAAGCCAGGAGUGAAAGCCCGGGGCCCAACCCCGGGACUGCUCUUGGAACUGCGCGGCUGGAGUGCAGGAGGGGCAGGCGGAAUUCCUGGUGUAGCGGUGAAAUGCGUAGAUAUCAGGAGGAACACCAGUGGCGAAGGCGGCUUACUGGACUGUAACUGACGUUGAGGCUCGAAAGCGUGGGGAGCAAACAGGAGUAGAUACCCCGGUA